RNAcentral lists this transfer-messenger RNA (387 nucleotides) under Candidatus Lloydbacteria bacterium RIFCSPHIGHO2_01_FULL_41_20. It matches the Rfam family "transfer-messenger RNA". From Rfam's summary of the family: Bacterial tmRNA, also known as 10Sa RNA or SsrA, is named for its dual tRNA and mRNA-like properties. The record is from RNAcentral. Lineage: Bacteria; Candidatus Lloydiibacteriota. RNAcentral also lists the same sequence under 1 other name.
GGGGAUGACCGGCCUAGACAGAUGCCGAUUACUUCCGAGUUGCAAUGUCGAGCUUCGAGUGCUCGCUAAACUUUCGAACAAAGUACAUGCAAAUGCACUUUCAAAAGCUAUGGGGAUUCGUUCUCCGUACGCUCCGGCUUUCGCUUUAGCCUAAGCCGCAUCCGCACUUCUUACGCCUGAUGCGUUGUCGCGGGUGUCAUCUUUUCAGGCUUUGGAUUCGCUUCGUUCUCGGGCGAAUCUGAAAAAUAGAGAAACCGAUGUUUGGGGAUUUUGUUUAUUUAUACCCCAAACAUUUAAAUCCGCCUUCGCGGAAAAAACAAACUAUACAUUGUAGACAUUCGUUAGUAUCUCACCUGCACGGCGGUUCGAUUCCGCCCAUCUCCACAA